Molecule: long non-coding RNA, 1169 nt
Filed under: Pomacea canaliculata
Lineage: Eukaryota; Metazoa; Mollusca; Gastropoda; Architaenioglossa; Ampullariidae
Description: uncharacterized LOC112573578, transcript variant X3
Source: RNAcentral
CCUCGUUUACAAAUGCUGGACUGGGAUCACCAGUGUUAUCGUUUGUCUGCAGUCGAGGCCAGCUGCACGUCACCGCCUGUUGUCUUGUGCGCACGUCACCCGGUUUCUGCGCACGGGUUGUUGCCUCCGUUGUCUUGUGCGCACGGUUCCUCACUUUCUUGCUAAGCCACCAUGGCUACGUCACCACCAGUCAUCUGCUGUAAAGAAUCUGACAUCGCAGGGAAGAGGUGCCAAUUGCACCGAAGCAGACCGGGUGAUCAAUGUCGCAUCAUGCUCAGGUUGACGAUGUAAACAUGUCGUGGUGCUUACAGCUAAGCAUGCUGAGCUCGUCGUCUCGGACUUACUGUCGUGUUGUGACUGCUUGUACAAGACUAAGCCUCUUCAGGAAAGAGUGUCAAGAGUGGCCGCUCGUGCCAAUGUUCCCAGACGUGUCCCUGUCGGUCUGCUGGUUGUGCGGGGAUCCCAGACAGGAUGGCCGCCGCACCGUGUGAAGGUUGUACCGAAGGGAUCCAAGUAUGCUCUGUACCUGGAAAUUGUACUUGCAGUAAGAAGUGUACAGGGAAGCUGUAGUCAGUACAGAGCACUAUCCUCGACAAGCUCAGUCAUGGCGGACAAAGUUCAUUUUGAAAAGCUUGGCUGAAUCUUUCUUUCCAAUUAAAAAAAAAGGCGGUCUACGUCUGGAACUGUCUGUCGACGGGACAGCAGUAGAUGUUAAUUAGGUCUACGUAACAAGCAAUCUUUUAUUCACGAACUAAAAACAUCGCACUAAAAUGUGUACACUUGUGGAGUGAGGUGAGGACUCCUCUAUCUCAUAACUUCCAUUUCAAAAAGUUUAUUUAGGAUUAUAAAAUAUAUUUGUAUGUGUUAGAGAUAUCUUAUCAUGUUUUAUAGUUAUUUUUCUUGUCCAUUUUUAUCUUUGAGUCUGAUAAUUACGAUAAUUUAUUAAUUUAGAGAGUCACUUACACAAGGAAACGUCUAGUAGAGGUGAAGGGGUAGUCCGCUAAGUACCCUCCAUUUCAGCUAACUUGGACAUAGAAGUGUACUGAGACAGAAAUCGUUGGCGUAUUGAAAAACAGUGUGCUUUGUAUUUGAGUGUCACCUGUUGUGUUGUUUGUAGACCUCGCUUGUUGGAGUGGGGGAGGGGAUAUGAAUUAGCUUGCAGUUUCACC